This is a long non-coding RNA of Dromiciops gliroides (monito del monte), 585 nucleotides long. RefSeq lists it as uncharacterized. Lineage: Eukaryota; Metazoa; Chordata; Mammalia; Microbiotheria; Microbiotheriidae. The record is from RefSeq and is a predicted model, not a curated record. The transcript is spliced from 3 exons.
UUCAGAUCAAGUCGAUUCGAUCUGGGAGACUUAAAGUGGUUGCGAGGAAACGGGCGGGGGCUGGGAGGGAAAGGAAACCGACAAACAAGACCCCCGCGUUCAAAAAGGUUGGUUGCCCUGUGCCCCAGCUCUUGGGAACAAGAGGAUGAAGUCUGGGGGUUCUCCUCGCCUCGCUUGGGAUGGUCCGGCACAUCUGGUUAAUGACCCCUACGGAGACAUGGACCCCCAGGAGGGGAAAUCACUCCAAGUGCACACAACAAACCAGUGGAAGAACCAGGGAGAUGCUGCUCUCUUGACAAGUAGUACAUACUAGGUAUUGAUCAUACCCUUAAAGAUGUCAGAAGGCUGAAGAUAGACACUUCCUCUAAAGAAAGGAGUGAUCAGAUCAUUGUAAGGACUUCAGGGAUGCCUCCCUACUUUGCAAUGUUGGAAGACUGACUAGAUGUAUCACUAACAGAAAUACUUUUUGAGAAGUUCAGCCAUUUUGUUUAAGAGGGUGCAAUGAUGGAAAAGGCUCUUCAAAUCCAGAAAAAAAGAAAGAAACUGUGGAAUAUGGACGCUGAUUGGACUAUACUAUCUCUUUUG